GACGUAGGGCGCAAGCGUUGUCCGGAUUUAUUGGGCGUAAAGAGCUCGUAGGCGGUUUGUCGCGUCUGCCGUGAAAGUCCGGGGCUCAACUCCGGAUCUGCGGUGGGUACGGGCAGACUAGAGUGAUGUAGGGGAGACUGGAAUUCCUGGUGUAGCGGUGAAAUGCGCAGAUAUCAGGAGGAACACCGGUGGCGAAGGCGGGUCUCUGGGCCGAUACUGACGCUGAGGCGCGAAAGCUAGGGGAGCGAACGGG
This 253-nucleotide ribosomal RNA is filed under the name uncultured bacterium. RNAcentral describes it as "partial 16S ribosomal RNA". It matches the Rfam family "Bacterial small subunit ribosomal RNA", at positions 524 to 776 of the family's 1533-position model. The record is from RNAcentral.